This 338-nucleotide unclassified non-coding RNA is filed under the name soil metagenome. RNAcentral describes it as "partial contains 5.8S ribosomal RNA, internal transcribed spacer 2, and large subunit ribosomal RNA". The stretch from base 1 to 120 matches the Rfam family "5.8S ribosomal RNA", at positions 35 to 154 of the family's 154-position model. The record is from RNAcentral.
GAUGAAGAACGUAGCGAAACGCGAUAAGUAAUGUGAAUUGCAGAAUUCAGUGAAUCAUCGAAUCUUUGAACGCACAUUGCGCCCGCCAGCAUUCUGGCGGGCAUGCCUGUUCGAGCGUCAUUUCAACCCUCAAGCUCUGCUUGGUGUUGGGGCCCUACGGUUGACGUAGGCCCUUAAAGGUAGUGGCGGACCCUCUCGGAGCCUCCUUUGCGUAGUAACUAACGUCUCGCAUUGGGAUUCGGAGGGACUCUUGCCGUAAAACCCCCAAAUUUUCUAAUGGUUGACCUCGGAUCAGGUAGGAAUACCCGCUGAACUUAAGCAUAUCAAUAAGCGGAGGA